UUAAACUGCUGCGGCCUACACAUGCAAGUCGAGCGGUAGCACAAAGAGCUUGCUCUCGGGUGACGAGCGGCGGACGGGUGAGUCACAUCUGGGAAACUGCCUGCUGAAGGGGGAUCACUACUGGAAACGGACGUUAAUACCGCAUAACGUCCGAUGACCAUAGUGGGGGACCUUCGGGCCUCAUGCCAUCAGAUGUGCCCAGAUGGGAUUACCUUCUACGUGGGGUAACGGCUCACCUAGGCGACGAUCCCUAGCUGGUCUGAAAGGAUGACCAGCCACACUGGAACUGAGCCACGAUAAACACUCCUACGGGAGGCAGCAGUGGGGAAUAUUGCACAAUGGGCGCAAGCCUGAUGCAGCCAUGCCGCGUGUGUGAAGAAGGCCUUCGGGUUGUAAAGCACUUUCAGCGGGGAGGAAGGCGAUAAGGUUAAUAACCUUGUCGAUUGACGUUACCCGCAGAAGAAGCACCGGCUAACUCCGUGCCAGCAGCCGCGGUAAUACGGAGGGUGCAAGCGUUAAUCGGAAUUACUGGGCGUAAAGCGCACGCAGGCGGUCUGUCAAGUCGGAUGUGAAAUCCCCGGGCUCAACCUGGGAACUGCAUUCGAAACUGGCAGGCUAGAGUCUUGUAGAGGGGGGUAGAAUUCCAGGUGUAGCGGUGAAAUGCGUAGAGAUCUGGAGGAAUACCGGUGGCGAAGGCGGCCCCCUGGACAAAGACUGACGCUCAGGUGCGAAAGCGUGGGAGCAAACAUGAUUACAUACCCUGGUAGUCCACGCCGUAAACUAUGUCCAUUUGGACGUUGUGCCCUUGAGGCGAGGCUGCCGUGAGCUAACGCUUGAAUCGACCGCCUGGGGAGUGCCGCCGCAGGGUAAAUCUCAAAUGAGUAAGCUUUUUUCUUAACCCAGGAUCAAAACCUUUUUA
RNAcentral lists this ribosomal RNA (919 nucleotides) under Klebsiella pneumoniae. RNAcentral's name for it is "bacterial SSU rRNA". It matches the Rfam family "Bacterial small subunit ribosomal RNA". The record is from RNAcentral. Lineage: Bacteria; Pseudomonadati; Pseudomonadota; Gammaproteobacteria; Enterobacterales; Enterobacteriaceae.